RNAcentral lists this ribosomal RNA (907 nucleotides) under uncultured bacterium. RNAcentral describes it as "bacterial SSU rRNA". It matches the Rfam family "Bacterial small subunit ribosomal RNA", at positions 33 to 948 of the family's 1533-position model. The record is from RNAcentral.
ACGCUGGCGGCGCGCUUACACAUGCAAGUCGAGCGAUGAAACCUUAACAGAACCCUUCGGGGCGAAGAUAAGACGGAUUAGCGGCGGACGGGUGAGUAACACGUGAGUAACCUGCCUUUUACACAGGGAUAGCCUCGGGAAACCGGGAUUAAAACCUGAUGAAACUAUCAAAUCACAUGAUUAAGAAAGUUAAAACUCCGGUGGUAAAAGAUGGACUCGCGUCCAUUAGCUAGUUGGUGAAGGUAACGGCCCACCAAGGCAACGAUGGGUAUCCGGCCUGAGAGGGUGAACGGCCACAUUGGAACUGAGAAACGGUCCAAACUCCUACGGGAGGCAGCAGUGGGGAAUAUUGCACAAUGGGGGAAACCCUGAUGCAGCGACGCCGCGUGAGCGAAGAAGGCCUUCGGGUCGUAAAGCUCUUUUAUAUGGGAAGAUAAUGACGGUACCAUAAGAAAAAGCCCCGGCUAACUACGUGCCAGCAGCCGCGGUAAUACGUAGGGGGCUAGCGUUGUCCGGAAUCACUGGGCGUAAAGGGUUCGCAGGCGGCAAUGCAAGUCAGAUGUAAAAGGCAAAGGCUCAACCUUUGUAAGCAUCUGAAACUGUAUAGCUUGAGAAGUGUAGAGGCAAGUGGAAUUUUUAGUGUAGCGGUGAAAUGCGUAGAUAUUAAAAAGAAUACCGGUGGCGAAGGCGACUUGCUGGGCACAAUCUGACGCUGAGGAACGAAAGCGUGGGGAGCAAACAGGAUUAGAUACCCUGGUAGUCCACGCCGUAAACGAUGAGUGCUAGUGUCGGUAUAAAUCGGUGCCGCAGUUAACACAAUAAGCACUCCGCCUGGGGAGUACGUGCGCAAGCAUGAAACUCAAAGGAAUUAACGGGGACCCGCACAAGCAGCGGAGCAUGGUGGUUU